This is a long non-coding RNA of Neopelma chrysocephalum (saffron-crested tyrant-manakin), 2383 nucleotides long. RefSeq lists it as uncharacterized. The transcript is spliced from 4 exons. The record is from RefSeq and is a predicted model, not a curated record. Lineage: Eukaryota; Metazoa; Chordata; Aves; Passeriformes; Pipridae.
UGGUGGGGAGUACCGCAAGAAAUAAAUCGGAACGGAAAAGACGAUACAAAUGGGAUGCGCAGAGAUGCUGUAAAAACGUGUCCGGCACGAGCACCCGUGACCCCCCUCACAGUGCGCGGGCGGGAGAGGAAGACAAGCGGUGCUGUAAAAACGCGCACAGAGGUUUUAAAGGAAUUGCUGAACUCUACGCAAUAGUCCGGCCUGCUGUGAUAAAAGGAGCAAUGGGAAGCUCUCAGAAAUGCGGGCAGAGUUACUGCCGGCUUUCCACCCCUUGCCAGCACAUGGAGCUGCCUGUCGUCAUCUGGGUACACAGAAUCCAUCUACCAGAAUAGCCCGGCUCCUGGCGUGCAGGCUGAGCAGGAAGGAGCCCGGCACCUUUCCUGUCCACACCACCCUAUUCACGCUGCUAGCUCUGCAUCCUUAUCUCAGAUGGCUCCUGCACAGCUGCUGCCUGAAACUGGCUGGUUUUAACACGAGCAACUAGUUUUAAAAUAGGCGUAGUUUAAGCUGUGCUGUGAUCACACGUCGGUACAUCUUCAGGCCAGAAGUGCCGAAGCCUGUAAUCAGCCCUCCUGCAGGAUAGCACUUAGGCACACAAGUGGUCCCGUUGGUUUUAAUAGAGCUGUUUGGGUAAGAGCUAUUCAGCAUAUAGGAGGGAUGCAGAAUAUUGUCCUGUGUGUUUAUUCCUUGGCAAAAGAUGUCAGCCAGUUUCCCUUUAAGAGGAUAACAGCAAUUCAGAUUAAAACAAGGAUUAUGCUUUACUGUUUUUGCAGCACUGAGGUAAAGCCACAUAUACAUUACACCUGAUUUUGUAUUAAAUCUGUAUCUUGUUGCCUCAGAUGCACAAGUGUAAUGUGCGUCUUGAACAUUGCUGAAACACAGAUCACAUUUUACUGCCGUUUAGUCCAGGCACAAGGGAUGAGAGAAAAUACAAGACAGUGAAGAAAGCAACAUUGUGAUUGUAAUUUAAGAGAAUUUUAUAUCUGUUUGGAAAACGUCUGACUCCGUGAAUUACAAGGUGGAAGGGAAUUUGGUGCAUAGUUUGCUAAGGUAAAAAAGAAAUUGCUGCAACGUUUUCCACUCGCUGCUUGAACUGUUGAAAUUCUACUGCAUAUGGGUGAGACAGUGCAGUUUUUACUGUAAACCCAUUGAAACUUAUGGUAGUUUUGCUGUUAACUGGAAGUAGGUUUAGACACUAUUUGACAUUGCUUUCUGUUACGAAACAGCAUGAAACCAUAUAUGCAUAGGUCUGUGUUGUCCACACAGGAAAGAAAGUUCCCUUUGCCUGACCACAUGCAUAGGGCACUUAGUGAAAAAGAUGCAAAGAGGUAUAGAUAAGGCACCAUUCUCUUCUGCAGCCACAGCAAUCCAGCAGGACCUCAGAUCUUCAGAACACCUAUAUUUCUUUGUAUACGUGUCUAAACGUACCUUAAACUGUUUUGUACAUGCGCUGUGGAAUCAGUCACACAUCCAGAAAGGAAGAUGAAUGUGCCGGGUAUAUAAAUGCACCUUGGUGAAAGUGGUAUAUGCUUGUAUGAAAGCCCAGGAUUCAGGUGUGGAUUUACUGAAGCUCUGAAGGUCUGAAGCUUCUCCUGCUCUUCCCCACCACACUAUGAGCACACACUGUUUGCCUCUGGAAACACGCAGGAGUCCAAAGAAGCACAGACUGCACAGGGCAGUGCUUCAGGAGGGUGCAUGGCCCGUGGUGAGCACCCCACUGGCCAUUGGUGACAAUGAGCAAUGACCAAACACUCCUCAGAGCUCUGACUGCUGGACUGAAGCUGCCUCAGCCUCCCCUGCACUCCCUGGCACCCAAACCCAGAACCUCUAGCCACUCCUGGGGUAAAAAACAGACUCAAUAUGAUUGCUCUCUCUGCUGUUCAGUGUGGGCAGAAGUAUUUUGAAGAUAGUUGGUUUAAGGUCAUCGAGCACAAUUUCACAUUGAUAUUGUUACUUUCCAGGGCCCUGUCCUUCUAGCCUUCCCUGCAUGGAAAGGCUGCUUUGGGAAGAGAGGAGCCACUGGAGCCAGCUGGACUAUGCAUGAAUUCUCUGCCUGAGCCACGUCCAAGGUGUUGGACUCCCUGCAGUUACAGCACAGAGACCUGAUACCGAGGACACAACUUCCUGCCUCACUGACAGUGCCUGCAUUGUGACACUGGCAGCUCUUCAGUUCUUCUUCAUUGUUACUGUUCUCUUGGUAUCUACAGGAGACUAGUCUAGAGGACCUACACACAGUGAGAGAGCUUUUUCUAAUGUGAAAACCUUUCAGUCAACACAGAGAAAACAGACAAAGCGGAGUGACGUGGAGGAAGGAGGAUUCCCUGAUUCUGGUGAGUUCUGGGAACGAGUGCCACAGUUUUCAGCCAGACGCCAAGAAACUCAG